RNAcentral lists this long non-coding RNA (295 nucleotides) under Elaeis guineensis (African oil palm). RNAcentral describes it as "long non-coding RNA (EGUI_LNC008421)". The record is from RNAcentral. Lineage: Eukaryota; Viridiplantae; Streptophyta; Magnoliopsida; Arecales; Arecaceae.
GCCAAAUUGGCUAAUUUUUCUGAUGACAUUUGAGUAGGCAUUUGGAUGGGUUUUUCUGCUUCUUUUGCUUUUUGUUCUUUUUGAAGCAUUAUCUCAUAUCAUAUUUUUGGUUUUGAUGGUUUGGGUGUAGAAAUUUGGCUAGGAUUUAGACUAAGUCUAGAUGGUUGAGCAUAGGCUUCUUUAGUUUGUUUUUUGGUAGAAGAACUGGCUCAUAGGUGCAGCCCGUAGAAAUUUUCAGGAUAAGAAAUCAGAUAGAAAAUUAUUUUUUCUUAUUUUAAAUUCUAUUUCAAAAUCA